UAUUUAGAAUGUUCUCUUUUCCUUAGGAAUUAUGAUGUUUAAGGAUAGAAAGGACAAAGAUUCUGAGAAAGAACUUUCACAUUGAAAAUUUUGGUUAUACCAACAUAGAUCUGAUAUUUGGGGCACUGCUUCUCCCUGCUGGACAUAAAGGAGAGCAAAGAGAGAGACAGUGGGAGGAAAAAAUGUUCUAAACCAUCCAGAGGGAACUUACGAUACUAUACCCCAAUAUGACUUCAGAACAAAGCAAUGAGAGUCAUCUAAGAAGCAAGUAUACUAGCAAUGAGGAGGGGAUGUCAGAUUGGGGGAGGAUGUAGCUGCUGCACUUCAGGGGCUAAAUGAUUGAGCAUGAUGUUUCUUUGUCAUAUGUAGAUCAUUGUUAAAAAUCAGAGAGGAUAAAAAGAAAGAGCCAAAGGGUCAGAAGAAAAGGCUAUACUACAAAAUAAAGACAGCACAUAGUUGUGCUUCAGCACAAACAGAUCACAUGGAUAACUGUCUCAUCUUUUCUGCCCUUGGGAAUGCUGAGAUUUCACACGGUACAACUCUACGUGAAACAGUGUCUUGGAUUGCAUGGCUGUAUAUCAUAUUGAAAUAGCCCAGUAAAAUUUAAAGAGUACCUUUUCUCUUUGGAAAUACAUUAGGCUUGCAUAAAUUUGGUCCUGUGUUCAUUUGAGGAAGUCUCUUAAGACAUUGGUAGAAUUUCCCACAAUUUGGUUUUGCCCACCCUUUCACAUGAUUUAGUGGGGAUGACAUGAUCUUGACAGAAUUGAAACACAACUGUGCUCUCCUCCAUUUGUCACAGCAUCAGAAGCAUGGUCUAUGUUACAUUGUCCACAUUACAGCUAGAGUCUGCAUGUUAAAGAUUUUCUGUCAGAAAGCCAGAAUGAAGACAAAAAAUCAGAGCCUGGCUUUCUCUCUUUGAAUACUGCCCAUGCCCUCUUUGCAGCAUUAAGAACAGAUGAGCCAGGCACUACACUUGAAUGUUGACACUACGCUUCGUGGCUACUGCUGAUUUUCCUUUAGAUAGGGUUCUGAGAGGAAUGCUUGAUGUACAUAUUGAUUUCUCCUCAGGGUGAAAAACUCCCCUUUAAAUAAACAAGCUCAGAAUUCAAAAAUACACUUUUUUCCCAUUGUUUUACUUUCAUAAAAAACAAUGAACACGGGUAGUUCAAAUGGAAAUGUGU
Mesocricetus auratus (golden hamster) is the source of this 1181-nucleotide long non-coding RNA. RefSeq lists it as uncharacterized. The transcript is spliced from 4 exons. The record is from RefSeq and is a predicted model, not a curated record. Lineage: Eukaryota; Metazoa; Chordata; Mammalia; Rodentia; Cricetidae.